This 866-nucleotide unclassified non-coding RNA is filed under the name Hevea brasiliensis (rubber tree). The record is from RNAcentral. Lineage: Eukaryota; Viridiplantae; Streptophyta; Magnoliopsida; Malpighiales; Euphorbiaceae.
AGCAGCUGUUGUUUCAAGCAUUGCCGGAAAAUUUCCUCCUAAACAUGAUUGAUCAAGCAAAGGCCUCUUUGCUUCAACCACUUUAGCUAUUGCACCCACACAGGCAGAUGGAAGGAAGUCACAUCGUGGUCCAAAUAGCCCAUGUCCAAGAAUGUAUGCUUUUGAUCCAGGGGACGGGCGCAUGAAGUCCACAGUAAUGGGACAGAGCUCAUCUGGAACUAGCUGUAGUUGUAGUAGUGCGACAUCCAGAGGUCCUCUGGAUACAUGAACUACCUCUGCAUUUGUCCAUACCCAAGGAUCCAUAAAAUCCAAGCGAACACGAAUGGUCCUACUGCUGGUGUUUGCCAAGUUAACUCUAAAGCUACCUUGCUCAUUGUUAACAAGGAACUGUGGAGUUUUUAGUUCCUUUUGAAGCAAAUAUUUAUUCCUAUGGUGAAUGGUAAAUUUAUCAUCCCCUGGAUGCUCAGAUUGAUUAGAUGUGGUGAAAACUACAUCAGAUUUGGUGUUAUAACCAUUUACAGAUGUUUUCCCAAAUCUCCACGGCUCUAGAAGAUGAGCAUUUGUAAGCAAUAGACCCUGCUUGUUGAGCAAAACUCCUGAAGCCCAUGCCCCAUCAUCAACAGUGAUAAGACAGAUGGAUGUCAUUGCCUUCUCAAUCAAGGAUGGGGGGACAGAACCUGUUAGGAGAUGCUCUUGAGUGUAAUUGAUGGGUCCGUCCUGAAUACUAUUGGAGCUUGAUUCCUUUUUAACACUGAUUAAGUUUCCAUUAUUAAAAUGGAUCUUUCUACCAGUUUGUCGCUCUUCUUGAAGAUAGCUAGCACAAGCAGAUGUAAUAGCUUCCCAUGGAAUCACCAUCUGAAUUUCAG